UUUCCGUAGGUGGACCUGCGGAAGGAUCAUUAUUGUAUAACCGAGGUGCGAGGGCUGUCGCUGACCCGAAAGGUCGUGCACGCCCGAGUGCCCUCACACACAUCCAUCUCACCCCUAUGUGCACCACCGCGUGGGUCCCCCUUUGGCUUGUUCGGAGGGGGGCUUACGUUUUCACACAAACUUUGUAUGCAGUGUAGAAUGUAUUUUUUUGUUUUUGCGAUCACGCAAUCAAUACAACUUUCAACAACGGAUCUCUUGGCUCCC
RNAcentral lists this unclassified non-coding RNA (264 nucleotides) under plant metagenome. Its description in RNAcentral is "partial contains small subunit ribosomal RNA, internal transcribed spacer 1, and 5.8S ribosomal RNA". The record is from RNAcentral.